This 274-nucleotide ribosomal RNA is filed under the name uncultured bacterium. Its description in RNAcentral is "partial 16S ribosomal RNA". It matches the Rfam family "Bacterial small subunit ribosomal RNA", at positions 523 to 796 of the family's 1533-position model. The record is from RNAcentral.
AUACGGAGGAUGCGAGCGUUAUCCGGAUUUAUUAGGUUUAAAGGGUGUGUAGGCGGUAUUUUAAGUCAGUGGUGAAAUCUCGGAGCUUAACUUCGAAACUGCCAUUGAUACUGGAAUACUUGAGUAUAGUUGAGGUAGGCGGAAUAUGUAAUGUAGCGGUGAAAUGCAUAGAUAUUACAUAGAACACAGAUUGCGAAGGCAGCUUACUAAACUAUUACUGACGCUGAUGCACGAAAGCGUGGGGAGCGAACAGGAUUAGAUACCCGGGUAGUCC